CUGUAGAGUAAUGGAUAGCGCGUUGAACUUCUUAUCCAAAAGUUGUGGGUUCGAAUCCCGCCUGAAAUGA
Molecule: transfer RNA, 70 nt
Filed under: Trichonephila clavata
Lineage: Eukaryota; Metazoa; Arthropoda; Arachnida; Araneae; Nephilidae
Description: tRNA-Arg
Rfam family: tRNA
About the family: Transfer RNA (tRNA) molecules are approximately 80 nucleotides in length. Their secondary structure includes four short double-helical elements and three loops (D, anti-codon, and T loops). Further hydrogen bonds mediate the characteristic L-shaped molecular structure. tRNAs have two regions of fundamental functional importance: the anti-codon, which is responsible for specific mRNA codon recognition, and the 3' end, to which the tRNAs corresponding amino acid is attached (by aminoacyl-tRNA synthetases). tRNAs cope with the degeneracy of the genetic code in two manners: having more than one tRNA (with a specific anti-codon) for a particular amino acid; and 'wobble' base-pairing, i.e. permitting non-standard base-pairing at the 3rd anti-codon position.
Source: RNAcentral